Molecule: ribosomal RNA, 77 nt
Filed under: Enterobacter hormaechei
Lineage: Bacteria; Pseudomonadati; Pseudomonadota; Gammaproteobacteria; Enterobacterales; Enterobacteriaceae
Description: partial 23S ribosomal RNA
Source: RNAcentral
GUGUAAGCGCAGCGAUGCGUUGAGCUAACCGAUACUAAUGAACCGUGAGGCUUAACCUUACAACGCCGAAGGUGUUU